This 2086-nucleotide long non-coding RNA is filed under the name Homo sapiens (human). Its description in RNAcentral is "HSALNT0244375". Lineage: Eukaryota; Metazoa; Chordata; Mammalia; Primates; Hominidae. The record is from RNAcentral.
AGCUGGUGAGGAAGGUGUCAGUAUUGUUGAGAAGCCCAGUGGUGCUGUCCUUUAUGGGCAGGGUUGACAGUAGGAGAUGCUGUAAUUGUGCCUCCCAGGAGCAAUGUGGAUGAUAGGAUUUUAGAAUAGCAGAGGCCAACAGACAGCACUUAACCAAUGGAAAUUAGAAGGGCAUAAUUAGCAUAAUGCAAAGCAACUUGGGAUGACAGUCAGGGGAACCUGAUCCACAGGGAUUUACGGUGAUGGCUAAUAGAACAUGAUGUCCAUAAGAAUGGGAAAGAUGGGAACUCAGUGACAAUAUUAUUAAUAUACAUACCCUAAGAAAUCAAGAACAGACAAGCAGAAAACAAGAAGCUGACCCAACAGGAAGUCUCCUGAUCUUGCCCAGUUUCCAGACCGAAGUCAUUUCUCAGUUACAGCAUCUACAGACAGAGAGUCCAGAGCCCCAUGAAGAAAGACUCUACCACAGUGUGUACGGUAAUUCUCCCUCCGACCUUCCUUAAAGGGACCUCCAGAAAUUACUCAGGAUCACAUUGAGGACCCUGAAGAGCCUGAAGAGGAAUUGCAUACCUUCUAUUAUUGCUGUUCGCUGUGGAUUGAAGUGCGUCUCUCCAAAAUCCAUAUGUUGAAGCACUAACCCCCGAUGUGACUGUAUUUGGAGAUCAGCCCUUUAAGAUGGUAAGUAAGUUUAAAUAAGAUCACAAGAGUGGAGCCUUAAUCCAAAAGGACUGGUGUCUUUUUUUUUUUUUUUUUGGUAGGUUUUGCCAUGUUGCCCAGGCUGGUCUCAAACUCCUGGCCCCAAGGGAUCCAUCCACCUUGUGUAAGACUGGAGCUGACAUCCAUCCAUCAGUCUUGUGUAAGACUGGAGCUGACAUUCACACCGUAGGCUGGGCCUCCCAGUUAUGACUGCUUUGCUGUCUCACUUACUGCAUGUUAUCCCAUCCUUCUGGAUGUGUGGCAAUCCUCGCCACGUGGCAAGGGCACAGCUGGCUAAACUGGCAGCUAUGCUUUGGAGCUCAUGACAGAUGUCUAUCGAGAGUAAAGAUGAGGAGAUUUAUUAGAAAACUAUCAAGAUUUUGGAGUGUGUUGGUCACUUUUGGAAGCCUUGAAAGGUCUUGCCUGACUCUCCCUCCCCAGGGUCAGAAGCAGAGCCCUAGAGAAAAGCCAGUGAGCCUAAGGGGGGCGGGUGUUAAUGGUAGAAACCCUCACAUCUGUGCCAGGCUCAGGUUCAGAGACCAACACACAAAAUGCUAUAGGCUUCUUAUACCUUCCCUAGAAAUUAAAGCCAAAAUGUCUAGCAACCCAAUCGGGUUUCAAGGAAGCUGAAGAACCUUGUAUUAGUAUGUUCUCACACUGCUAAUAAAGACAUACCUGAGACUGGGUAAUUUAUAAAGGAAAGAGGUUUGAUGGACUCACAGUUCCACAUGGCUGGGGAGGCCUCACAGUCAUGGCGGAAGGUGAAAGGCAUGCCUUACAUGGUGGCAGCAGGCAAAGAGAGAAUGAGAGCCAAGUACAAAGGGAAAGCCCUUAUAAAACCAUCAGAUCUCGUGAGACCUAUUCACUAACACGAGAACAGUAUGAGGGAAACCACCCCCAUGAUUUAAUUAUCUCCCACCAGGUCCCUCUCACAAUACAUGGGAAUUAAGGAAGCUACAAUUCAAGAUGAGAUUUGGAUGGGGACACAGCCAAACCAUAUCAAACAUUUACUAGGCCUGAGAAAAAGUGGCUUAUAUUUGCUGACUCCCUCAGGUGGGUCCUGAUCACGCAAGGUACCAACAACAGAGAAUGGGCUACCAAGCCUGAGCAAGCUUCAAAAGAGAAAAACCUCCUGAGUGCUGUUCUCACACAUGACCAUGGGAGGAAUAUGUAAGGCACAGACUUCUGGGGCUGCUAGAUGGGUUAACCAGGAUGCUCGUCCGCAUGCCUGGAUCGGGGACCUCCCAACUCUAUUCCUGUCUUUGACAUCAGAUCAAUGUGGGUAGAAAUUAACAAGUCUCCUUGCAAAAUAAAAUAUAUAUAUAUUUGAAAUUAAAACAUUAAAUCAUAAAUGAGUGUAAUUUAUUGAAAGAAUAGCACAAUACAAGGG